AAUAUUGCGCAAUGGAGGAAACUCUGACGCAGCGACGCCGCGUGAGCGAUGAAGGUCUUCGGAACGUAAAGCUCUGUCCUUUGGGAAGGAGAUCGAAAGAUUUGACGGUACCAGAGGCGGAAGCUCCGGCUAACUACGUGCCAGCAGUCGCGGUAAUACGUAGGGGGCAAGCGUUGUCCGGAAUUAUUGGGCGUAACGGGUGCGUAGGCGUCUUUUUAAGUCAGAUGUGAAAGGCCACGGCUUAACCGUGGGGUUGCAUUUGAAACUGGAAGGCUUGAGUAUCGGAGAGGGUAGUGGAAUUCCAAGUGUAGCGGUGAAAUGCGUAGAUAUUGGGAGGGACACCAGUGGCGAAGGCGACUACCUGGACGAAAACUGACGCUGAUGCAAGAAAGCUAGGGGAGCAAACAG
Molecule: ribosomal RNA, 408 nt
Filed under: uncultured bacterium
Lineage: Bacteria
Description: partial 16S ribosomal RNA
Rfam family: Bacterial small subunit ribosomal RNA
Source: RNAcentral